CGCCUCUUGAAUCAGUAUAAGAGGUCCAGCCUGCCCAGUGACCCUGUUCAACGGCCGCGGUAUCCUAACCGUGCGAAGGUAGCGUAAUCACUUGUUCUUUAAAUGAGGACUAGUAUGAACGGCAUCACGAAGGUUAUACUGUCUCCUUUUUCUAAUCAGUGAAUCUAAUCUCCCCGUGAAGAAGCGGGAAUAUAACUAUAAGACGAGAAGACCCUAUGGAGCUUAAAACAACACAGCACUUGUCAAAAAACUAAACAAUUCCAGAAUUUUUAAUUUCUAGGCAACAUGACUAUAAGUUUUUGGUUGGGGUGACCGCGGAGUAUAAUAUAACCUCCAUGUUGAAAGAAUUUUAUUCUAAGCCAAAAAGUACAUUUUUAAGCAUCAAUAAAUUGACAUCUAUUGACCCAAUAUACUUGAACAACGAACCAAGUUACCCUAGGGAUAACAGCGCAAUCCACUUCAAGAGCUCCUAUCGACAAGUGGGUUUACGACCUCGAUGUUGGAUCAGGGUUUCCCAGUGGUGCAGCCGCUACUAAAGGUUCGUUUGUUCAACGAUUAAAACCCU
RNAcentral lists this ribosomal RNA (565 nucleotides) under Peltophryne fustiger. RNAcentral's name for it is "partial 16S ribosomal RNA". It matches the Rfam family "Bacterial large subunit ribosomal RNA", at positions 1832 to 2597 of the family's 2925-position model. Lineage: Eukaryota; Metazoa; Chordata; Amphibia; Anura; Bufonidae. The record is from RNAcentral.